UCAACCAAGGUUCGACUUGAGCGCCAGCGAGAGAGCGUUGCCGCAGGCAACGACCCGAAGGGCGAAGCGCGCAGCGCUGAGUAAUCCUUCUCCCACCACCA
This 101-nucleotide small RNA is filed under the name Escherichia coli. RNAcentral's name for it is "partial RtT sRNA". It matches the Rfam family "RtT RNA", at positions 32 to 130 of the family's 130-position model. Rfam says of the family: This family represents a bacterial cis-regulatory element known as RtT RNA. The exact function of RtT is unknown although it is thought that it may be involved in changing the cellular response in relation to amino acid starvation. Lineage: Bacteria; Pseudomonadati; Pseudomonadota; Gammaproteobacteria; Enterobacterales; Enterobacteriaceae. The record is from RNAcentral.